CAGGCCUAACACAUGCAAGUCGAGCGGAGCGAGGGUGCUUGCACCUUAGCUUAGCGGCGGACGGGUGAGUAAUGCUUAGGAAUCUGCCUAUUAGUGGGGGACAACGUUUCGAAAGGAACGCUAAUACCGCAUACGUCCUACGGGAGAAAGCAGGGGAUCUUCGGACCUUGCGCUAAUAGAUGAGCCUAAGUCGGAUUAGCUAGUUGGUGGGGUAAAGGCCUACCAAGGCGACGAUCUGUAGCGGGUCUGAGAGGAUGAUCCGCCACACUGGGACUGAGACACGGCCCAGACUCCUACGGGAGGCAGCAGUGGGGAAUAUUGGACAAUGGGGGGAACCCUGAUCCAGCCAUGCCGCGUGUGUGAAGAAGGCCUUUUGGUUGUAAAGCACUUAAGCGAGGAGGAGGCUUACCUAGUUAAUACCUGGGAUAAGUGGACGUACUGCAGAA
This 446-nucleotide ribosomal RNA is filed under the name uncultured bacterium. Its description in RNAcentral is "bacterial SSU rRNA". It matches the Rfam family "Bacterial small subunit ribosomal RNA", at positions 43 to 487 of the family's 1533-position model. The record is from RNAcentral.